AGCGAACGCUGGCGGCAGGCCUAACACAUGCAAGUCGAACGAACUCUUCGGAGUUAGUGGCGGACGGGUGAGUAACACGUGGGAACGUGCCUUUUGGUUCGGAAUAACUCAGGGAAACUUGUGCUAAUACCGAAUGUGCCCUUCGGGGGAAAGAUUUAUCGCCAUUAGAGCGGCCCGCGUCUGAUUAGCUAGUUGGUGAGGUAACGGCUCACCAAGGCGACGAUCAGUAGCUGGUCUGAGAGGAUGAUCAGCCACACUGGGACUGAGACACGGCCCAGACUCCUACGGGAGGCAGCAGUGGGGAAUCUUGCGCAAUGGGCGAAAGCCUGACGCAGCCAUGCCGCGUGAAUGAUGAAGGUCUUAGGAUUGUAAAAUUCUUUCACCGGGGACGAUAAUGACGGUACCCGGAGAAGAAGCCCCGGCUAACUUCGUG
Molecule: ribosomal RNA, 433 nt
Filed under: uncultured bacterium
Lineage: Bacteria
Description: partial 16S ribosomal RNA
Rfam family: Bacterial small subunit ribosomal RNA
Source: RNAcentral